This 429-nucleotide ribosomal RNA is filed under the name Gemmatimonadota bacterium. Its description in RNAcentral is "Gemmatimonadetes bacterium partial 16S ribosomal RNA". It matches the Rfam family "Bacterial small subunit ribosomal RNA", at positions 355 to 776 of the family's 1533-position model. Lineage: Bacteria; Pseudomonadati; Gemmatimonadota. The record is from RNAcentral.
UAGGGAAUCUUCGGCAAUGGACGAAAGUCUGACCGAGCAACGCCGCGUGAGUGAAGAAGGUUUUCCGAUCGUAAAACUCUGUUGUUAGAGAAGAACAAGGACGUUAGUAACUGAACGUCCCCUGACGGUAUCUAACCAGAAAGCCACGGCUAACUACGUGCCAGCAGCCGCGGUAAUACGUAGGUGGCAAGCGUUGUCCGGAUUUAUUGGGCGUAAAUCGAGCGCAGGCGGUUUCUUAAGUCUGAUGUGAAAGCCCCCGGCUCAACCGGGGAGGGUCAUUGGAAACUGGGAGACUUGAGUGCAGAAGAGGAGAGUGGAAUUCCAUGUGUAGCGGUGAAAUGCGUAGAUAUAUGGAGGAACACCAGUGGCGAAGGCGGCUCUCUGGUCUGUAACUGACGCUGAGGCUCGAAAGCGUGGGGAGCAAACAGG